GCCGACGUAGCUCAGCUGGUAGAGCAACGGUUUCGUAAACCGUAGGUCGAGGGUUCGAAUCCCCUCGUCGGCU
RNAcentral lists this transfer RNA (73 nucleotides) under bacterium. RNAcentral describes it as "tRNA-Thr". It matches the Rfam family "tRNA". Rfam says of the family: Transfer RNA (tRNA) molecules are approximately 80 nucleotides in length. Their secondary structure includes four short double-helical elements and three loops (D, anti-codon, and T loops). Further hydrogen bonds mediate the characteristic L-shaped molecular structure. tRNAs have two regions of fundamental functional importance: the anti-codon, which is responsible for specific mRNA codon recognition, and the 3' end, to which the tRNAs corresponding amino acid is attached (by aminoacyl-tRNA synthetases). tRNAs cope with the degeneracy of the genetic code in two manners: having more than one tRNA (with a specific anti-codon) for a particular amino acid; and 'wobble' base-pairing, i.e. permitting non-standard base-pairing at the 3rd anti-codon position. The record is from RNAcentral. RNAcentral also lists the same sequence under 6 other names.